GACGAACGCUGGCGGCGUGCUUAACACAUGCAAGUCGAACGGAAAGGCCCUGCUUUUGUGGGGUGCUCGAGUGGCGAACGGGUGAGUAACACGUGAGUAACCUGCCCUUGACUUUGGGAUAACUUCAGGAAACUGGGGCUAAUACCGGAUAGGAGCUCCUGCUGCAUGGUGGGGGUUGGAAAGUUUCGGCGGUUGGGGAUGGACUCGCGGCUUAUCAGCUUGUUGGUGGGGUAGUGGCUUACCAAGGCUUUGACGGGUAGCCGGCCUGAGAGGGUGACCGGCCGCAUUGGGACUGAGAUACUGCCCAGACUCCUACGGGAGGCAGAAGUGGGGAAUAUUGCACAAUGGGCGGAAGCCUGAUGCAGCAACGCCGCGUGCGGGAGGACGGCCUUGGGGUUGGAAACCGCUUUCGCCUGUGACGAGGCGUGGGUGACGGUAAUGGGUAAAGAAGCACCGGCUAACUACGUGCAAGCAGCCGCAGUAA
This 484-nucleotide ribosomal RNA is filed under the name uncultured bacterium. RNAcentral's name for it is "partial 16S ribosomal RNA". It matches the Rfam family "Bacterial small subunit ribosomal RNA", at positions 28 to 523 of the family's 1533-position model. The record is from RNAcentral.